Molecule: long non-coding RNA, 2247 nt
Organism: Lotus japonicus
Lineage: Eukaryota; Viridiplantae; Streptophyta; Magnoliopsida; Fabales; Fabaceae
Exons: 3
Source: RefSeq, a predicted model, not a curated record
AUUCCCUGCAGCUAGGAAUCCCAAAAUUUAGUGAAGUUAAGGAUCAAACUACUUUAAAUUGAGUGGUUUCAUCAAAAGAUCGGACGACUGCGGACCCUUGACUUGACUAAAUGACGAUUCCUUAAUUGUAGGGAAUCCAAGUCCAUCCUUAGAAACCUAAAAUUUGAUGUUUGAAAUACAAUAUAUUGAUCUUGAUCUUGCUUUAUUAAUUGUUCGUAGUGGAACUUAUAUUAAUAUUGUAUUAUAUAUUAUCAUUCCUUUUCUUUUAGAACACAUAAAUCACAUCAUGAGAGAUGAAAAUAAUGUUAUUCCAAAAUGUCUAAUAAUCAACUUUUUUCUGUCCAAAAUUGUAUCUUAUGUAAGUAAAUAUUACCUUACUUUUGCAGGGUUUGUUUCGUUCUUUCUACUGCAUAUGUAAUUAUUAUUGUUGAAGUAAUACAAAUGUCGAUGGAAAAUUUUAUCUUCUCACCUUAAUUUUACCUGAUAUAAGUGAGGGGUAUGAAGAAAGGAGAAAAAAAUAGAGUUCUAAUAAUUGAUGUAAUCUCAAUAUAAAUAAAAUGAGAAACCAUUAGAAGGAAAGUUUGCCACAUGUCACUAUGGGAACCACCCCCCAUCUUGCGCCACGUUAGCAGAAACAUUAAAAAAAAGUCUAAAUAAAAAUUAUAAUACUAUUUUUGGAAAGGUUUGGAUUUUAACACGUGGUGCAGGGGUUGAUUUUCAGCAGGUUAUUUAAAAUUUAUAUGUUUCCAGGCUGUAUUUGAAAAACAAUUAAAAAAACAGAUUUUUAAACUUAGAUCCCUACUUUAUCUCUAACAGUCCCAGGCAGCCAAUCAACAUGUAGCCAAUCAACAUGUGUUGUUUCAAAUUUUACCAAUUCAAUAUUUUAUCUUCAUUAAAUGUUGUAAAUUGCUUUUUAAAAUUUAUCUUUAUUGGUUUACCCAAACCGCCCACACUAUCCAAUCGACGGACAGAGAGAAAACAAAUUGUGCUAUCUGGGUUGCUUUGCGUGUCUUCUCCAUGUUGCAACCAUUAACUUUACGUGUUUUAGAAGAUUAACAACAACUGCAGCCCUAUACCUAAUAAACUAAUAAACGUGAUGCCUCUAUGAACCCUAUAAUAUGCUGUUUAUUUGAAAUUUGAAACUGUUGCAUGCAUUCUUAUAUCGUUCUACAAAUAAGGAUGAAUCAAAGCAUGCACUGGAUCUGGAUCACUUCCUCUCCUUUGUUGAAAGCAUUGAUCUGGAUUACUUCCUCUCCUCUGGGCGGAUUUUUUGAAGGCAGAGUUGGACGGGGCGACGACGAUAGUGGCGGAAGGGGCAGCUGCUCUGGGUUCUCGAGGGUGAAGGCUAUGUUGAUUCGAGAUGGACCUUGAAUCAGAGAGACUGGGGUUUCAUCUAACAGUGAAGAUUUGUUAAUUUGGGAUUUGUUUGAAAAGAGGAAGCUCUUCAAUUGCAAGUCUCAACCCAAUUUAAUUUUUUCGAUUUUUCUCUGAGAUUGAAAACAACUCAUGAGCAUCUUCAGCGCAAGAGGGAAUGCGGCGCCGAGAAGCGACAUCAGUUCAUGGUGGGGAGGAUCUCGGUGAGAAAUUAAAUUGAAUCAAGCAGCAGGAAUUUUAUAUUAUGCUGUAGCAUAGCAACUGAACCUUCACCCCAAAUGUCGCACCCAAUUGUGAUGAUUUUUUGGAAGGAGUCGUCUUUGCUUGCCCUUGACCAAUGGAGUUGAUAUUGCUUCACUGGUGGAGAUACUUGGAUUGCAAUUUUAAAGAAGGCAGACAUGAAUCCUCUAAAAAUGGAGUUGGAAGGAAAAGGUUGCAUUGUUCUUAAAGAUGCUGACUAGGAUUUGGUUGCUGCAAACACUAUGAAGGGAGUUUUUUCAUACAUGUGAGUGGCAUAUUUGAUGCAGAAGCUGAGAAAAGCUUAUGAGGGAACAUUCAUGAGCAGUGGUGGGUUCACUCGGGAGUUAGGAGUGGAAGUUGUAGUAUAAGGGGAUGCAGAUCGAUUUGGUUGCUUAUGUUUAUCUUUUUAUGUCUAUUCCAGACUUGGUGUUAAGGUUGAAGCUUAAUGCACCUCUGAACAAAUAUGAGACUGAGGAGCCAAGCGUAUGCCUAUAAUUUGUUUUAUGUUUUGGUCUUUUUGAAUUUUGAUAUUGUUAUAUGUACAGUUGGAGUCUUCAAAUCUCAAAUGGAUUGUACUGUUAUGAAGAAUUGCCUUAUAUAAUAAUUCUUGGCACAUGUAUUGUUUCACCUUUA